RNAcentral lists this transfer RNA (68 nucleotides) under Bos taurus (domestic cattle). It matches the Rfam family "tRNA". Rfam says of the family: Transfer RNA (tRNA) molecules are approximately 80 nucleotides in length. Their secondary structure includes four short double-helical elements and three loops (D, anti-codon, and T loops). Lineage: Eukaryota; Metazoa; Chordata; Mammalia; Artiodactyla; Bovidae. The record is from Rfam by way of RNAcentral. RNAcentral also lists the same sequence under 4 other names.
CCUGGUGGCUCAGAGGGUAAAGCGUCUGCCUGCAAUGCAGGAGUCCGGGUUUGAUUCCUGUGUCAGGA